CAUGCAAGGUCGAACGGUGAUGUCAGAGCUUGCUCUGGSGGAUCAGUGGCGAACGGGUGAGUAACACGUGAGUAACCUGCCCCCGACUCUGGGAUAACUGCUAGAAAUGGUAGCUAAUACCGGAUAUGACGAUUGGCCGCAUGGUCUGGUCGUGGAAAGAAUUUCGGUUGGGGAUGGACUCGCGGCCUAUCAGGUUGUUGGUGAGGUAAUGGCUCACCAAGCCUACGACGGGUAGCCGGCCUGAGAGGGUGACCGGCCACACUGGGACUGAGACACGGCCCAGACUCCUACGGGAGGCAGCAGUGGGGAAUAUUGCACAAUGGGCGCAAGCCUGAUGCAGCAACGCCGCGUGAGGGAUGACGGCCUUCGGGUUGUAAACCUCUUUUAGUAGGGAAGAAGCGAAAGUGACGGUACCUGCAGAAAAAGCACCGGCUAACUACGUGCCAGCAGCCGCGGUAAUACGUAGGGUGCAAGCGUUGUCCGGAAUUAUUGGGCGUAAAGAGCUCGUAGGCGGUUUGUCGCGUCUGCUGUGAAAUCCCGAGGCUCAACCUCGGGUCUGCAGUGGGUACGGGCAGACUAGAGUGCGGUAGGGGAGAUUGGAAUUCCUGGUGUAGCGGUGGAAUGCGCAGAUAUCAGGAGGAACACCGAUGGCGAAGGCAGAUCUCUGGGCCGUAACUGACGCUGAGGAGCGAAAGCAUGGGGAGCGAACAGGAUUAGAUACCCUGGUAGUCCAUGCCGUAAACGUUGGGAACUAGAUGUGGGGACCAUUCCACGGUCUCCGUGUCGCAGCUAACGCAUUAAGUUCCCCGCCUGGGGAGUACGGCCGCAAGGCUAAAACUCAAAGGAAUUGACGGGGGCCCGCACAAGCGGCGGAGCAUGCGGAUUAAUUCGAUGCAACGCGAAGAACCUUACCAAGGCUUGACAUAUACCGGAAACAUGCAGAGAUGUGUGCCCCGCAAGGUCGGUAUACAGGUGGUGCAUGGUUGUCGUCAGCUYGUGUCGUGAGAUGUUGGGUUAAGUCCCGCAACGAGCGCAACCCUCGUUCUAUGUUGCCAGCACGUAAUGGUGGGAACUCAUAGGAGACUGCCGGGGUCAACUCGGAGGAAGGUGGGGAUGACGUCAAAUCAUCAUGCCCCUUAUGUCUUGGGCUUCACGCAUGCUACAAUGGCCGGUACAAAGGGCUGCGAUACCGUAAGGUGGAGCGAAUCCCAAAAAGCCGGUCUCAGUUCGGAUUGAGGUCUGCAMCUCGMCCUCAUGAAGUCGGAGUCGCUAGUAAUCGCAGAUCAGCAACGCUGCGGUGAAUACGUUCCCGGGCCUUGUACACACCSCCCGUCAAGUCAUGAAAGUCGGUAACACCCGAAGCCAGUGGCCUAACCGCAAGGGAGGAGCU
RNAcentral lists this ribosomal RNA (1390 nucleotides) under Clavibacter sp. RNAcentral describes it as "bacterial SSU rRNA". Lineage: Bacteria; Bacillati; Actinomycetota; Actinomycetes; Micrococcales; Microbacteriaceae. The record is from RNAcentral.